Molecule: ribosomal RNA, 253 nt
Filed under: uncultured bacterium
Lineage: Bacteria
Description: partial 16S ribosomal RNA
Rfam family: Bacterial small subunit ribosomal RNA
Source: RNAcentral
UACGUAGGGUGCGAGCGUUAAUCGGAAUUACUGGGCGUAAAGCGUGCGCAGGCGGUUUUGUAAGCCAGGUGUGAAAUCCCCGGGCUCAACCUGGGAAUGGCAUUUGGGACUGCAAGGCUGGAGUGCGGCAGAGGAGACUGGAAUUCCUGGUGUAGCAGUGAAAUGCGUAGAUAUCAGGGGGAACACCGAUGGCGAAGGCAGGUCUCUGGGCUGACACUGACGCUCAUGCACGAAAGCGUGGGGAGCAAACAGG